UGCAGUCGAACGCGUUGGCCCAAUUGAUUGAUGGUGCUUGCACCUGAUUGAUUUUGGUCGCCAACGAGUGGCGGACGGGUGAGUAACACGUAGGUAACCUGCCCAGAAGCGGGGGGCAACAUUUGGAAACAGAUGCUAAUACCGCAUAACAACGUUGUUCGCAUGAACAACGCUUAAAAGAUGGCUUCUCGCUAUCACUUCUGGAUGGACCUGCGGUGCAUUAGCUUGUUGGUGGGGUAAUGGCCUACCAAGGCGAUGAUGCAUAGCCGAGUUGAGAGACUGAUCGGCCACAAUGGGACUGAGACACGGCCCAUACUCCUACGGGAGGCAGCAGUAGGGAAUCUUCCACAAUGGGCGCAAGCCUGAUGGAGCAACACCGCGUGAGUGAAGAAGGGUUUCGGCUCGUAAAGCUCUGUUGUUAAAGAAGAACACGUAUGAGAGUAACUGUUCAUACGUUGACGGUAUUUAACCAGAAAGUCACGGCUAACUACGUGCCAGCAGCCGCGGUAAUACGUAGGUGGCAAGCGUUAUCCGGAUUUAUUGGGCGUAAAGAGAGUGCAGGCGGUUUUCUAAGUCUGAUGUGAAAGCCUUCGGCUUAACCGGAGAAGUGCAUCGGAAACUGGAUAACUUGAGUGCAGAAGAGGGUAGUGGAACUCCAUGUGUAGCGGUGGAAUGCGUAGAUAUAUGGAAGAACACCAGUGGCGAAGGCGGCUACCUGGUCUGCAACUGACGCUGAGACUCGAAAGCAUGGGUAGCGAACAGGAUUAGAUACCCUGGUAGUCCAUGCCGUAAACGAUGAGUGCUAGGUGUUGGAGGGUUUCCGCCCUUCAGUGCCGGAGCUAACGCAUUAAGCACUCCGCCUGGGGAGUACGACCGCAAGGUUG
Molecule: ribosomal RNA, 884 nt
Filed under: Limosilactobacillus fermentum
Lineage: Bacteria; Bacillati; Bacillota; Bacilli; Lactobacillales; Lactobacillaceae
Description: bacterial SSU rRNA
Rfam family: Bacterial small subunit ribosomal RNA
Source: RNAcentral